AGAGUUUGAUCCUGGCUCAGAUUGAACGCUGGCGGCAGGCUUAACACAUGCAAGUCGAACGGUAACAUAAAGAAGCUUGCUUCUUUGAUGACGAGUGGCGGACGGGUGAGUAAUGCUUGGGAAUCUAGCUUAUGGAGGGGGAUAACUACGGGAAACUGUAGCUAAUACCGCGUAGAAUCGAGAGAUGAAAGUGUGGGACCUUCGGGCCACAUGCCAUAGGAUGAGCCCAAGUGGGAUUAGGUAGUUGGUGAGGUAAAGGCUCACCAAGCCGACGAUCUCUAGCUGGUCUGAGAGGAUGACCAGCCACACUGGGACUGAGACACGGCCCAGACUCCUACGGGAGGCAGCAGAAGGGCGAAUU
This 361-nucleotide ribosomal RNA is filed under the name uncultured Terrahaemophilus sp. RNAcentral describes it as "bacterial SSU rRNA". It matches the Rfam family "Bacterial small subunit ribosomal RNA", at positions 8 to 365 of the family's 1533-position model. Lineage: Bacteria; Pseudomonadati; Pseudomonadota; Gammaproteobacteria; Pasteurellales; Pasteurellaceae. The record is from RNAcentral.